RNAcentral lists this long non-coding RNA (5931 nucleotides) under Brassica napus (rape). Its description in RNAcentral is "long non-coding RNA (BNAP_LNC008477)". The record is from RNAcentral. Lineage: Eukaryota; Viridiplantae; Streptophyta; Magnoliopsida; Brassicales; Brassicaceae.
CAAGCGGUAAAGAAAUGUUACCGCAAGAAGAAGUUCACGGUCUGAUCAUGUUUUGCCUUGACCAAAGAAGGCAUAUGACCGUUUAUGGAUAGAGGAAGAGCGUCUCUACAGGCUGGCACAGGCUGGAAGGAUAAGGUUCACUUUUAGCAUAGUGACCACGCGUGUGGAGAGGCUCAUUGGUCCGGUUCAAAUUAAAGGCUCCCUUAGACUUGACCUCACAUGCUUAGUCUCUUCUUAAACCCUAGUAUCACCUCCUAUAUAUUGUAAACACUCUCUCAUUAAUGAAAUUAUGCGAGUUAUGUUACUCUCUCUCUAGUCUCUCUCUUGUUCAUCAUGGAUCAUACUUAAUCUCCCCAUUUCUCUCACAAUCUCUUCUAAACUUCUCUUAAUCUCUUACCAAAUCUCUCUUAAUCUCUCAAUACCUAUUCUACUCUCUAAUCUCAUAUGGUAUCAGAGCCAGGUUGGCUUUGGUAUUGAGAGAUCCUUGUUCCUUUCUUUACAUUUGCGAGUUUGUUCUUGUGUGUUAAAGAAGAGGAGAUGGAGACGACCAGCUUUAGCAAACUGGUGACGGUUCCGGUUGCACUGAAGGGAGGCUCGAACUACUUGAUGUGGUCCCAGUUGGUGAGGACUACCAUUGGAAGGCUAGGGUUGUGGAACCACAUCACAGAUGAUGGUCCGGAGCCAGUGGCCAAAGAAGAUGAAGAAGAAGGCGACGGGAAGACUCUUGCGGUAGCUGAAGCAAAGAGAUGGGUCCAAGAGGAUUUGAUGGUGCUGUCUGUGCUCCAUGCCUCCCUGGAGCUCCCCAUACUUGAAGCUUACGUGCACUUUGAGACCCCUAAGCGCCUUUGGGACAUGCUCCAUAAGAGGUAUGGAAACAAGUCCAACAUAAGCCGGGUGUUUGAUCUGAAGCAAACCAUCAGUGUCUUGAGGCAAGAUGGAGAAGAUCUCACCAAGCACAUGGGGAAGUUUGGAGCUUUGUGGUCCGAACUUGAGAGUCUUAGACCCAACACAACUGAUGAGGAAUCGCUCAUUGAGAGGAGAGAGCAAGAUCAGGUGUUUGGGCUAUUGAUGACUCUAGAUGAAAGCUACCAGGAUGUGAUCAAGCAUAUCCUGAGAUCACCUACUCUCCCAUCCAUGGAGGAGGUAUGCGCUCAACUUCAGAAGGAGGAAGGUUCUCUUGGGUUGUUUGGAGGCAAGAAGGGAAUGUCCACGGCUCAUAAAGCAGAAGAGGCGCAAGCAAACAAGGCAGCGUACCGUGGAGAUGGAAGGAAGUAUGAGAAGUAUGAGGGAAGCUGUGAGCAUUGCAAGCGGCAGGGGCAUAAGAAGAGUCAGUGCUGGAUCCUACAUCCACACCUCAGGCCUAGCAAGUUCAACAAGGAUAGAGAAGCUAAGGCUCACCUUUCUGCUGAAGCAAGUGGUGCCGGCUCAUCAGGGGCUAGUCCAAAUGUCAAGGCGGGUGAAAGUGAAGGCAGAGCUCUAACUUCUCAGGAGGUGAUCACCAAGGCUGACUUUGAGGCUUUCAUCCGAGCCCUCAAGGAGUCUGGUAAAAUGCUAGGCAACACUCUUGGAUACUCAUACUCUGCUCAUACAUUACCUAGUAUCUCUGAUAAACUGUUAGACAUUUUGAAAAUCUCAUGUACUGCCACUGCUCAUACUAGCAUAACUGAUAGAUUGUUAGGAGUAGUUAAGAGCCUGAAAGCUGAAAAUGAAACAUCUAGAACCAAGACUGCUAGGAGCUUGCAUAAACCAUUGAUAAUUGACUCUGGUGCAUCUCAUCACAUGAUUAGUGAUAACAAUCUGAUAAAAGACAUAGAACCUGCCCUUGGACAUGUUAUGAUUGCAAAUGGAGAUAGAAUUCCCAUUAGGGGCAUUGGUAAACUGAACUUGUUUAAUAAGGAUUCAAAAGCUUUUUACAUGCCUGAGUUCACCUCUAAUCUUUUAUCAGUUAAGAAAUGCACUACUGAUCUUCAAUGCAAUGUUAUUUUCAGUCCUAAUGAUGUUAAGUUUCAGGAUAUUAAGAGCAGUAAGUUGAUUGGGCAAGGAGCAACCAAGGGGGAUCUUUACAUGAUUGAAGACCUUGCACCUAUUUCUAGUUCUUGUUUCUCGUUUAGUUCUGUUUCUUCCUUAAGUACUGAUGCUCUGUGGCAUGCUAGGCUAGGACAUCCACAUGUUAGGGCCUUAAGCAUUAUGUUACCAGGUGUCAUGUUUAAAAAUAAUGAUUGUGAGGCAUGUAUUUUGGGCAAACAUUGUAAGACUGUUUUUCAGAGAUCAUCUACUCUUUAUGCAAACUGCUUUGAUUUAAUUCACUCUGAUGUUUGGACUGCACCUUGCUUAUCUAGGGAUGAUUACAAGUAUUAUGUCACAUUCAUUGAUGAAAAAUCCAAAUACACCUGGUUAACAUUGAUUAAAACUAAAGAUAGGGUCCUUGAUGCAUUUAAAAAUUUUCAAGCCUAUGUGACUAACCAAUAUCAUGCCAAGAUUAAGAUUUUCAGGUCUGAUAAUGGUGGGGAGUAUACUGGGCAUGCAUUUCGUGAUCACCUUGCUCAACAUGGGAUCCUUCACCAGACUAGCUGCCCAUACACUCCACAGCAGAAUGGAGUUGCGGAAAGGAAGAACAGACAUCUCAUGGAGGUGUCCCGGUCCAUGAUGUUCCACAAAGGGGUUCCCAAGAGGUAUUGGAGUGAUGCUGUGAUGACUGCGUGCUACCUGAUCAACAGGAUACCAACCAGGAUCUUGGCAGAUCAAUCUCCAUUUGAGGUACUCAACAAGAGCAGACCAGUCUUGGAUCACCUGAGGACUUUUGGAUGCGUGUGUUAUGUUCUUGUACCAGGCGAGCAGAGAAACAAACUAGAAGCAAAGAGCACCAAGGCUAUGAUGAUUGGGUAUUCCACUUCACAGAAGGGAUACAAAUGCUAUGAUCCUACAGCUAGGAGAGUCCUAGUGUCAAGGGAUGUCAGAUUCAUGGAAGACAAAGGAUACUAUGAUGAGCAGACAUGGGAAGACUUGGAGGAUCUCUCUCAGCCAUCAGAAAGAGCUGCUUGCUUGAGAAACAUCCUAGAGGGACUCGGAAUUGGAGUGUCCCAGGAUCAGAGUAGGCGUCCAGAACCUACUCCAGCUGCAGCAGAAGAACCAUCCCACUUUGCACAUGAGGGGGGAAGUGAAUCAGUAUCUGAACUAGAGGACCAAGGCUUAGAAGAGGCCGGUGAGCUAGGAAACAGAGGAACUGAUUCUCCUGUCCAAAGUGGAGAAGGAUCAGCAAGGGGAGAACUGAAUGAAGAAGAUCAGAGACAAGGAGAGGCUAGAGCUGAAGCUGAAGAACAGACUGAAGCAGUGACUCCACAAGUAGAAGAAGAACAAGAGAUGGCACAAGAAGGGCCAGUAUUGAGAAGGAGUACAAGGCUGAGGAAGGAUCCUUCCAGUUGGGUAAACACGAGAGUGUACUACAAUGCCCAAGCUGUGAAGCAUCCUACUCAGGCUGUGUGUUCCUUUGCUCAAUAUCCAGAAGCACAUUGUGCAUUUAUGGUAAACUUGGAUAAGAAUCACAUUCCAAGAAGCUAUGAAGAGGCAAUGGAAGAUAAGGAAUGGAAGGAAUCAGUAGGAGCUGAGGCAGGAGCUAUGAUAAAGAAUGACACAUGGUAUGAGAGUGAACUACCAAAAGGGAAGAAGGCUGUGUCUAGUAGAUGGAUCUUUACAGUCAAGUACAAGGCUGAUGGGUCGAUUGAGAGGAAGAAGACUAGACUGGUAGCAAGAGGGUUCACUCAGACUUAUGGAGAAGACUACAUUGAUACAUUUGCUCCAGUUGCAAAGCUACACACCAUUCGAAUAGUCCUAUCAGUGGCUACUAACCUUGGGUGGGAUCUUUGGCAGAUGGAUGUUAAGAAUGCAUUUCUCCAAGGAGAGUUAGAAGAUGAAGUUUACAUGCUACCACCUCCGGGCCUAGAAGGGAUGGUGAAACCAGGGAAUGUGCUGAGACUGAAGAAGGCCAUCUAUGGGUUGAAGCAAUCACCAAGGGCAUGGUAUCACAAGCUGAGCACAACUCUAAAUGGAAGAGGGUUCAGGAAAUCAGAGCUUGAUCACACUCUCUUCACUCUUACUACACCUGCUGGCAUUGUUGUGCUUCUUGUAUAUGUGGAUGACAUAGUUAUCACAGGCAGUGAUAAGGUUGAAAUCAAGGAGACCAAGGAGUUUCUGAAAUCUGUGUUUGACAUCAAAGACUUGGGAGAAAUGAAGUACUUCCUUGGAAUUGAGCUGUGCAGAUCAGAAGAAGGGUUGUUCAUCUCACAAAGGAAGUAUAUCUUGGAUCUGUUGAAGGAGGCUGGUGCGUAUGGUGGAAAGACAGCCAAGAUGCCCAUGGAGGAUGGGUAUAAAGCUCCACGUGAGGGGGAGCUAGAAGAUAGUAAGCUAUUUCAUGAUCCAAAGCUAUACAGGAAGCUUGUGGGGAAGCUGAUCUAUCUAACCAUCACUAGGCCAGACAUCUGUUUUGCUGUGAACCAAGUGAGUCAGCAUAUGCAAGCUCCAAGAGAGCAUCACUGGCGCAUGGUAGAAAGAGUUCUCAUGUAUCUGAAUGGAACUCAAGGGCUUGGUAUAUGGAUGGGUUGUAACGGGAGUACUGAAGCAGUGGGAUAUUGUGAUGCAGAUUGGGCUGGAGAUAGAACAGAUAGAAGAUCUACAACUGGCUAUUGCACAUUCAUUGGUGGAAACAUGGUUACUUGGAAGAGUAAGAAGCAGAAGGUGGUGUCAUGCUCAAGUGCCGAGGCUGAGUAUAGAGCAAUGCUAAAGCUCACAAAUGAGUUGGUAUGGAUUAAAGGAAUACUGAAGCACUUGGAGAUUGAGCAAGCAACACCAAUGACCAUGCACUGUGACAAUCAAGCAGCCAUUCACAUAGCCACAAACUCGGUGUUCCAUGAAAGAACUAAGCAUAUUGAAGUGGACUGUCAUAAAGUGAGGCAGAUGAUAGUAUUGGGAGUAAUACUGCCGUGCUACACAAGGAGUGAGGAUCAAUUGGCAGAUGUAUUCACUAAGGCGGCUACUUGGGAGUAAUACUGCCGUGCUACACAAGGAGUGAGGAUCAGUUGGCAGAUGUAUUCACUAAGGCGGCUAGGCAAAAGACAAUGGAGUCAAUUCACAUAAGGUUGGGACUCCUUGAUCUUUCGCCUAAGGGCUGAUCUAUACACUCUCCUGAUCAUGAGGUCCUUACUCUUUUUCCCUCAUCAGAGUUUUGUCCCAAUGGGUUUUCUUUGAUGAGGUUUUUAAUGAGGAGGAGCUCAUGAUCCUUCCAAGCUUGACUUGUUCCACAUGGUCAAGCUUGAGGGGGAGUGUUGAGAUGAGCUGAGGAAUAUGAGGAGAGUUGUUCAGGGUUGAAGAGGUUGUGAUGUGGAGAAGAGGAGAAGGAUUGGCCUUAGGGAGAACCGUCCGUACCGGUCCGUACAGGUCCGUACCAUGGCCGUACGGCCGUACAGACGGUAUCGACCAAGCGGUAAAGAAAUGUUACCGCAAGAAGAAGUUCACGGUCUGAUCAUGUUUUGCCUUGACCAAAGAAGGCAUAUGACCGUUUAUGGAUAGAGGAAGAGCGUCUCUACAGGCUGGCACAGGCUGGAAGGAUAAGGUUCACUUUUAGCAAAGAGCGUCUCUACAGGCUGGCACAGGCUGGAAGGAUAAGGUUCACUUUUAGCAUAGUGACCACGCGUGUGGAGAGGCUCAUUGGUCCGGUUCAAAUUAAAGGCUCCCUUAGACUUGACCUCACAUGCUUAGUCUCUUCUUAAACCCUAGUAUCACCUCCUAUAUAUUGUAAACACUCUCUCAUUAAUGAAAUAAUGCGAGUUAUGUUACUCUCUCUCUAGUUUCUCUCUUGUUCAUCAUGGAUCAUACUUAAUCUCCCCAUUUCUCUCACAAUCUCUUCUAAACUUCUCUUAAUCUCUUACCAAAUCUCUC